GCUCCCUCCGCCGCCCACUCCAGACUCCUACACGAGGCGAGCAGUCGGGGAAGGUAAGUUUAGGGUAACCGUAAAUUACGGGGACCGGCGAAGACCUCGAUCCAGCCAUGCCGCCGGUCGGGUGGAGUGAGGGGCCCGUUACGGGGUUUCGGUUAAAAGGACCCCGUUUUACCGGCCGGGGAACGGAGUAAUGACGGUACCCGCCACGAAGAAGACCCCGGCUAACCUUCGUGCCAGCAGCCGCGGUAAUUC
Molecule: ribosomal RNA, 252 nt
Filed under: uncultured bacterium
Lineage: Bacteria
Description: partial 16S ribosomal RNA
Source: RNAcentral